RNAcentral lists this unclassified non-coding RNA (2589 nucleotides) under Hevea brasiliensis (rubber tree). The record is from RNAcentral. Lineage: Eukaryota; Viridiplantae; Streptophyta; Magnoliopsida; Malpighiales; Euphorbiaceae.
CACAAACAAAAACAAGAGAAAGGGUCUCCGUCCGGCGGAAGGAGAAGAGCAGUUUCCAAUCCCAUCCGUCUUUCGUAUGCUUGAAUAAAAAGCCCUCUCUCCCUCUUGGUUUUUUCAACUGUCUCUCCGUGUCUAUCUCGCGUUUCUUAGCACAACACCGAUCCCCAAACACCCAAAGCGACUUUUCUCUCUUCUGCUUUCUUUUCAAAUUCACGCGUUUUUCUCUUCAUCCUUCUCCUUUCAUCUUUGAUCCGCAGGCUUCUUACUAGAUCUCCCUUCUCGAUUCCCUUUUGAUCGCUUCUCUUUCUUGGGUUUUUUUUGUUGCUGGGUUUCAAAUUUUUUAAUCAAAGAGGGAAAUUUUGACAACUUCAUCACUGAUUGCAUGAGUGUUUUCUGAAGAUUAAUGAUGUUGACCUUACCAGUUGGGCUGUGAAGUACUAUGGAACUGGUGGUUACUCGACGACAACAACAACAACAACAACUACCGCAACAAGAUGACGAUUUACAUUGGUCGCGAGGCUUCAAAGCUGUGGAAGAGAAUUUGUGCGGAGAUUACCACAGAGAUCAAUCUACUUUUCGAAAAUUGGAAAUACAUUCUUGCCGGUCUAAUUUUUCAGUAUAUACAUGGUUUGUCUGCCAGAGGAGUUCAUUAUCUACAUCGGCCAGGGCCAACAUUGCAGGACGCAGGGUUCUUUCUCCUUCCGGAGCUUGGACAAGAUAAAGGCUACAUUAGUGAGACGUUGUUCACCUGUAUCUUUCUAUCAUUUGUACUGUGGACUUUCCACCCUUUCAUCUGCAAGAGCAAAAAGAUCUACACAGUUCUGAUUUGGUGCAGGGUUCUAGCAUUUUUAGUUGCUUCUCAAUUUCUUCGGAUAAUUACAUUCUAUUCUACGCAGCUUCCAGGUCCAAAUUAUCAUUGCCGUGAGGGCUCCAAACUUGCCAGGCUGCCACGUCCAGAGAGCGUGCUUGAAGUACUCUUAAUUAAUUGUCAGUCCCUGUGUUUUACUGUAGUCCUUUCUUUGUUAUUUGUCAAGAAUUUCCUGUGCUAAUUUGAUUUGUUGAAUCUGCAGUUCCUCGGGGUAUAGUAUUUGGCUGUGGUGAUUUGAUUUUUUCAUCACACAUGAUAUUUACCCUUGUUUUUGUUCUCACAUAUCAGAAGUAUGGUACACAAAGGUAAAGUAUGGCUUUAAUCAUGUUGUUACUCCAAAAUAAAUGAAAAGAAAAUGUUGUGAUUUCUUGAGUUAAAACAAGGCCAAAUAUGAAAAAUAUCAGAAUGGUACCCCUUUUUUAAAUAAAACUUUUGCGGUGGCAAUGUGCAAGAUUUCAGAACAUUAUGUAGGUUCAGUCCUGCAGAAAGUAAAUACAUUGGUUGGAUAGGUGUUGGCUCUUGCUGUUAUAUCAGUCUGGUUCUCUAGUGUUUUCUCAAAUUUGCCCCUUUCUCUUUUUCUUUUUACGUUGCAUUUCACAAAUCGAUCAAAUACCUUUUUACUAGAUUGACAAAUUUCAAGUUGUCUUUGCAGGUUUAUAAAGCAGUUAGGUUGGUUGAUUGCUGUGGUUCAGAGCCUAUUAAUUAUAGCAUCCCGCAAACAUUAUACAGUUGAUGUUGUUGUUGCAUGGUAUGUGUGGGAUACUCGUCCAUUCAAUUAUUGUUCCAUGUGAAGACAAUUCAGAUUUUUAAUUUAGUUGUACAUUGAUGCUUCUACAGGUAUACUGUUAAUUUAGUGGUAUUCUUUAUAAGCAAGAAAUUACCAGGUGAGUAUGGGUAGACUUUUUAUUUUUCUAUUAUUAAUUUCCUUUUUUUCUUUUCUGCUUUAUUCAGCAUUUGAUUUAUAAAAUUAACUUUGAAGUUGUCAAGUGCAGAACUACCUGAUCGGACUAGUGGAGCUGCCUCUUUGUUGUUACCAUUGAGUACCAAGAACAGAGACAUCAAGAACAAAGAAGAGAAUCACAAGCUUUUGAAUGGGAACUCAGUAGACCCUGAUCGGGUAUAGUGAAGUUGAACUUUUACGAGAAACAGUUUUUCCUACAAAUAUGAGGUGUUGAUUGUCAUUUGCUAUAUUGUCCAGAGGCAGAGAACCCAAGUAAAUGGCAAGAUUCUGGAAGAUGCUAAUGGAGUCAUUGCUCAUACUAAUGGAAUGAAUGGUGUGUAGACGACGGAAACUGUAUGGCGUAACUCGUAAGUGCUGCAAGGACUGCUUUUUAUAUCUUUAAGAACCCUUAUGUGAGGUGGGCAUCUGUUCCAUUACUGGUGGUAAAUUUGAUUUGUAUUCAUGUAGAGAAAAUGGAAAUAAGGGUAGCACGUACGAACAUUUAGCAGUCCUCUUGCUUUGUAAUGGUUAAAACAAUAUAUCAUCAGCAUCAGCAUGUAUCAUGGAAUCUACAAAAUCUUGAGUCUCCCAUUCUCCUGAGCAUGCGAUGCUGUUGAAACUUUGAUUCACUUUGCUUACUAUUUAACAUGGUGAAGCCGAAGGCUAUUCCCAUUAAUCAGCCAGCUACAAUUGUUAUUCAUUCUUUUCUUCUCGGUAGAUUAAACACCAGUAAUGGAAAAUCCAAUUUGGUAAUUAAAUGCAGGGAUAUCCAAAAAAUUUC